AGCAGCCGCGGUAAUUCCAGCUCCAAUAGCGUAUAUUAAAGUUGUUGCAGUUAAAAAGCUCGUAGUUGAAUUUCGGGGUCAGUAGAUUGGUCAUGCCUCCGGUAUGCACUGGUCUUACUGGCUCCUCCUUCCUGAUGAACCGUAAUGCCAUUAAUUUGGUGUUGCGGGGAGACUGGACUGUUACUUUGAAGAAAUUAGAGUGUUUAAAGCAGGCUAACGCUUGAAUACAUUAGCAUGGAAUAAUGAAAUAGGACGUUCGAUCCUAUUUUGUUGGUUUCUAGGAUUGACGUAAUGAUUAAUAGGGAUAGUUGGGGGCAUUAGUAUUCAAUUGUCAGAGGUGAAAUUCUUGGAUUUAUUGAAGACUAACUACUGCGAAAGCAUUUGCCAAGGAUGUUUCAUUAAUCAAGAACGAAAGUUAGGGGAUCGAAGACGAUCAGAUACCGUCGUAGUCUUAACCAUAAACUAUGCCGACUAGGGAUCGGAUGAUGUUAAUUUUUAAUGACUCAUUCGGCG
RNAcentral lists this ribosomal RNA (513 nucleotides) under uncultured Glomus. RNAcentral's name for it is "SSU rRNA". It matches the Rfam family "Eukaryotic small subunit ribosomal RNA", at positions 569 to 1085 of the family's 1831-position model. The record is from RNAcentral. Lineage: Eukaryota; Fungi; Glomeromycota; Glomeromycetes; Glomerales; Glomeraceae.